AGCAGCGUGGCUCAGUGGAAGGAGCACGGGCUUGGGAGUCAGAGGUGAUGGGUUCGAAUCCCAGCUCUGCCA
This is a non-coding RNA of Ornithorhynchus anatinus (platypus), 72 nucleotides long. The record is from Rfam. NCBI's taxonomy places the organism in Eukaryota, Metazoa, Chordata, Mammalia, Monotremata, Ornithorhynchidae.